This 253-nucleotide ribosomal RNA is filed under the name uncultured bacterium. RNAcentral describes it as "partial 16S ribosomal RNA". It matches the Rfam family "Bacterial small subunit ribosomal RNA", at positions 524 to 776 of the family's 1533-position model. The record is from RNAcentral.
GACGUAGGGCGCGAGCGUUGUCCGGAUUUAUUGGGCGUAAAGAGCUCGUAGGCGGCUUGUCGCGUCGACCGUGAAACCUCACAGCUCAACUGUGAGCCUGCGGUCGAUACGGGCAGGCUAGAGUUCGGUAGGGGAGACUGGAAUUCCUGGUGUAGCGGUGAAAUGCGCAGAUAUCAGGAGGAACACCGGUGGCGAAGGCGGUUCUCUGGGCAUUACCUGACGCUGAGGCACGAAAGCCAGGGGAGCAAACGGG